Molecule: long non-coding RNA, 3049 nt
Organism: Mesocricetus auratus (golden hamster)
Lineage: Eukaryota; Metazoa; Chordata; Mammalia; Rodentia; Cricetidae
Exons: 3
Source: RefSeq, a predicted model, not a curated record
AAAGCAGGAUGAGCAAGCCAUGGGAAACACGCCAGUGAGUAGCUUUUCUCCAUGUCUUCAGUUCCUGUCUCCAGAUCCCUCCCUGCCUUGAGUUCCUGCCCUGACUUCCCUGGAUGAUGGACUACAACCGGUUUUGCUGUGUUCCUGGCAGCCCUUGAACGUGUGUUAAAGUGGUCAAUAAUUGCCCGAACGGCUAGCAGAAAAGCAUACAGAAGUGAAACGACUGCCUCCCGAAGACAAGGUCUGCCCUCCACCCUUGUGAGCUCCCACUCCAAGAAGAAGCAGAAGCCGGAAGGAGGAAGGAGGAGGAGGAGGAGCAGGAGGAAGAAGAAGAAGGGAGAAGAACAACAAGAAUAAGAAGAAAGAAAAAAAUUACCAGUCCAAUUUGUGUUGUUCAUAUAUUCACUGGAACAUGGCCAAACUUCCAGUAGCCAGCCCCUUAAAGAAAACUGAGUCCUUCUCCACCUGCACCCCUGUAGAAGCCCCCAACUGUGGAGAGCUACACUUCAGCAUCCUUAUCACAAUUUUAAGAGUUCUCUUUGACGGUUUGCUGUCUAGACUGUUACUCUUUUAGGGGGUGGAGGAAUGGGUACAGAGGUUGUCACUAAGGCCUUCUACGUCCCUCUUCCUCAACUGUGACUGCACAGUUAUUGAUACCACUGCAAAAGUAGCUUCCUUGCCUUUACAGUCAUAAGGAAUACCGAUCAUGGACUUCCACAAGAUCUCUGGUGUCAGCCAGUGCCAUGAACCUCAACAGGGCCCUCUGUUGCAGAACAGGCCAUGGACAUCAACCUAAUGGCUGCACAGGCCAAGGACAUCAGCAUGGCCUCUGGGGCAACACUGGCCAUGCACACCAACAUGGUCCCCGAUGGCAGCCUGGCUCACAGACACCAACAUGAAUUCAGGUGGCAGCUCAGGCCACUCACAUCAACAUGGCCCACAGCAGCAGCAUGGACCACAGACACCAUCAUGCUCCUUGGCAGCAUCACAGGUCAUGGACAUCAUCAUGGCUUCUGACAGCAGCACAGACCACCAUGGACAUCUGUCUGACCUUUAGUGGUAACAGGGGCCACAGACAUCAACAUGACCUCCAGCUGCAGCAAGAUCAUGGACCCCAACAUAGCUUCAGGUGGCAGCACAGACCACAGAUAUCCCCAUGACCUUCAGUGGUAACAUGGGCCAUUUAUUUUUGUUUGUGUAUGUGUGAGUGUGCAAACACACUACAUAUGCACACAUGUACAGGUGCUCAUGGAGGCCUGAAGAGGGCAUUGGAUCCCCUGGGACCAGAGAAGUUACAGGCAGUCAUAAUUUACAUGUUGUGGGUACUAUGAACUGAACUCUGGUUCUCGGAAAGAACAGUGAGUGCCCAGUGAUCAGAAAAUUAAUCUCAAGGCUACUUUGCAGGAGGCUCUGCCCCUGUCCCCAUUCUCCUGUGUGUGUAUCUGAACCUUGCUUUGUUCACUGGUUUCCACGACUCCAACCACUACUCUUCUUACAUUCCACCUUCUCUCCCAUCUUUGGGUCACUGGAGACCUGUGACCCAUGAUCUGGUUUAUGAAAUGGAGGCAUCUCACAGCUGCCAUUGCUGGCAAUACAUAUCUAGAAUUUAAAUUUAAAAGCAAAAGCAAACACGCCAAAGACAAGGAAACAGAAGCAAUCCAAGCUAUUCACUUGUCAUGGUGUUACCAUUACCAAACCAGACCCACUUUACUCACUGCUCAGCAUGCCAGCUGCUGGAACAAGCUAUUCACUUGUCAUGGUGUUACCAUUACCAAACCAGACCCACUUUACUCACUGCUCAGCAUGCCAGCUGCUGGAACAAGUUCUGUGAAAGAGUCCAUUGAUGAAGUGGCCAAGGUGUGGGCACAGAAGAGGAAGCAUUCAGCAUGCCUCCCCUAGGAAAGGAGUCCGAGCUGUCCAUGCAUUGAAGCUGGGUGAGGGAGGCUUGGGGAAAGGAGUAGAUAGGAAGCAAUUAGCAGUCAGUCUUCCGGGCCCCCAGAGGUCAUGGGAUCAGACAAUGGUGGUACUUCUCACACCAAAGAAGUUGCCCUUUGGAUUUCUGUCCAGGUCCCAGUGAACAGUCAGUGACUUCAAGAGAUGCAAAUCUUCAAGUCUCUGAAAAGCAACAUACAUGAUAUUUACUGAGACACAUGUGUCAAGGGUGUCAACUGCAGCAAAGCCAGUGCUAGUCCAAUAAAUUUAAGAUUAAAAAAAGAGCCAAGUGUGAGGAAGUGCCACAAAGCAAAGUCUAGGAGGCUCUUUCAGGUUUUCGUGUAGUUUAGUUAGGCCCUGAUUGGGGAAGGCGAGGACUCAAAGGCUUCUGACCUCAAGACCAUAUGUAUACAAAGCCCACACAGAAGUAGUUCUCAGCCAGGAAUGGGUACAUAACACAUUCCACUAUUUGAGUUUCCUGACUCAAAGUAAUGGUGAGAGACAGACGUUUUUUGCUGACUCAUAACACACACACACCCCAUCCCUCUUGACCCAUGUUGGAUAUCCAUAUCAUCACUGAUGGGAGAUGUCAUUCUGAAAUCUGUUCUUAUUGGUUGUUGAAUAAAGCACUGCUGGCCAAUAGGGAAGCAAGAUAGGUGGGACUAGGAGUUGAGGAGGACUCUGGGAAAGAGAAAGCUGUCUGUUGCCUGCUAUUCUGGGCCAUCUUACCUGCUAAGUCAUUCUCGAAUCAUUGCUGCUUGCUCACUUUUCAGCAUGUUCCCGGAGCCUGCUCUGCCCUACAUGAAACUGGCUUUCCAUUUAAGGUCUUUCCCUUGUCAUCAAUGUGAACAUCAUAGCAGAAAGAGGAAUACACUAUGCCUGGCUGUUGGAGACAGACUGGAGGAAGAGCGGGUACCCACUGUCGGGUCAAUGACUGCUUCCGAUAAACACAAAGGAUGGAGAGUCCUGGUUCCAUCACAGCUCAGAAAGCCAACUAAAGAAGGAUUCUAUUUAGUCACUCUCAGCAGAAAUGACAGAACUCAGGGCAUAGAUCCCACCUAUGAUGUAGUAGACAUUGGGUAUUACAGAUAAAAUACAAGGGCUAGCCCAACAGUCA